UUUCACGCUGCCAAGAAAAGCCUCUAGCGAGGCGGGAGGUGCCUGUACCGCAAACCGACACAGGUAGGCGAGGAGAGAAUCCUAAGGUGAUCGAGAGAACUCUCGUUAAGGAACUCGGCAAAAUGACCCCGUAACUUCGGGAGAAGGGGUGCUCUGGUAGGGUGUUAAAGCCCGAGAGAGCCGCAGUGAAUAGGCCCAGGCGACUGUUUAGCAAAACACAGGUCUCUGCAAAACCGCAAGGUGAAGUAUAGGGGCUGACGCCUGCCCGGUGCUGGAAGGUUAAGAGGAGAGGUCAGCGCAAGCGAAGCUUCGAAUUGAAGCCCCAGUAAACGGCGGCCGUAACCAUAACGGUCCUAAGGUAGCGAAAUUCCUUGUCGGGUAAGUUCCGACCCGCACGAAAGGCGUAACGAUCUGGGCACUGUCUCAACGAGAGACUCGGUGAAAUUAUAAUACCUGUGAAGAUGCAGGUUACCCGCGACAGGACGGAAAGACCCCGUGGAGCUUUACUGUAACCUGAUAUUGAAUUCCGGUGCAGCCUGUACAGGAUAGGUAGGAGCCUUGGAUUCCGGAGCGCUAGCUUCGGAUGAGGCGUUGGUGGGAUACUACCCUGGCUGUAUUGGACUUCUAACCCAUGCCCCUUAUCGGGGCAGGAGACAGUGUCAGGCGGGCAGUUUGACUGGGGCGGUCGCCUCCUAAAGAGUAACGGAGGCGCCCAAAGGUUCCCUCAGAAUGGUCGGACAUCAUUCGUAGAGUGCAAAGGCAUAAGGGAGCUUGACUGCGAGACCUACAAGUCGAGCAGGGUCGAAAGACGGGCUUAGUGAUCCGGUGGUUCCGCAUGGAAGGGCCAUCGCUCAACGGAUAAAAGCUACCCCGGGGAUAACAGGCUUAUCUCCCCCAAGAGUCCACAUCGACGGGGAGGUUUGGCACCUCGAUGUCGGCUCAUCGCAUCCUGGGGCUGUAGUCGGUCCCAAGGGUUGGGCUGUUCGCCCAUUAAAGCGGUACGCGAGCUGGGUUCAGAACGUCGUGAGACAGUUCGGUCCCUAUCCGUCGCGGGCGCAGGAAAUUUGAGAGGAGCUGUCCUUAGUACGAGAGGACCGGGAUGGACAUACCUCUGGUGUACCAGUUGUCUUGCCAAAGGCAUCGCUGGGUAGCUAUGUAUGGACGGGAUAAAUGCUGAAAGCAUCUAAGCAUGAAGCCCCCCUCGAGAUGAGAUUUCCCAUUACGCAAGUAAGUAAGAUCCCUCAAAGAAGAUGAGGUUGAUAGGUCUGGGGUGGAAGCGCGGCGACGUGUGGAGCUGACGGAUACUAAUCCAUCGAGGACUUAACCUA
This 1328-nucleotide ribosomal RNA is filed under the name metagenome. Its description in RNAcentral is "bacterial LSU rRNA". It matches the Rfam family "Bacterial large subunit ribosomal RNA", at positions 1598 to 2925 of the family's 2925-position model. The record is from RNAcentral.